This 2905-nucleotide ribosomal RNA is filed under the name Escherichia coli. RNAcentral describes it as "23S ribosomal RNA". It matches the Rfam family "Bacterial large subunit ribosomal RNA". Lineage: Bacteria; Pseudomonadati; Pseudomonadota; Gammaproteobacteria; Enterobacterales; Enterobacteriaceae. The record is from RNAcentral.
GGUUAAGCAACUAAGCGUACACGGUGGAUGCCCUGGCAGUCAGAGGCGAUGAAGGACGUGCUAAUCUGCGAUAAGCGUCGGUAAGGUGAUAUGAACCGUUAUAACCGGCGAUUUCCGAAUGGGGAAACCCAGUGUGUUUCGACACACUAUCAUUAACUGAAUCCAUAGGUUAAUGAGGCGAACCGGGGGAACUGAAACAUCUAAGUACCCCGAGGAAAAGAAAUCAACCGAGAUUCCCCCAGUAGCGGCGAGCGAACGGGGAGCAGCCCAGAGCCUGAAUCAGUAUGUGUGUUAGUGGAAGCGUCUGGAAAGGCGCGCGAUACAGGGUGACAGCCCCGUACACAAAAAUGCACAUAUUGUGAGCUCGAUGAGUAGGGCGGGGCACGUGGUAUCCUGUCUGAAUAUGGGGGGACCAUCCUCCAAGGCUAAAUACUCCUGACUGACCGAUAGUGAACCAGUACCGUGAGGGAAAGGCGAAAAGAACCCCGGCGAGGGGAGUGAAAAAGAACCUGAAACCGUGUACGUACAAGCAGUGGGAGCACGCUUAGGCGUGUGACUGCGUACCUUUUGUAUAAUGGGUCAGCGACUUAUAUUCUGUAGCAAGGUUAACCGAAUAGGGGAGCCGAAGGGAAACCGAGUCUUAACUGGGCGUUAAGUUGCAGGGUAUAGACCCGAAACCCGGUGAUCUAGCCAUGGGCAGGUUGAAGGUUGGGUAACACUAACUGGAGGACCGAACCGACUAAUGUUGAAAAAUUAGCGGAUGACUUGUGGCUGGGGGUGAAAGGCCAAUCAAACCGGGAGAUAGCUGGUUCUCCCCGAAAGCUAUUUAGGUAGCGCCUCGUGAAUUCAUCUCCGGGGGUAGAGCACUGUUUCGGCAAGGGGGUCAUCCCGACUUACCAACCCGAUGCAAACUGCGAAUACCGGAGAAUGUUAUCACGGGAGACACACGGCGGGUGCUAACGUCCGUCGUGAAGAGGGAAACAACCCAGACCGCCAGCUAAGGUCCCAAAGUCAUGGUUAAGUGGGAAACGAUGUGGGAAGGCCCAGACAGCCAGGAUGUUGGCUUAGAAGCAGCCAUCAUUUAAAGAAAGCGUAAUAGCUCACUGGUCGAGUCGGCCUGCGCGGAAGAUGUAACGGGGCUAAACCAUGCACCGAAGCUGCGGCAGCGACACUAUGUGUUGUUGGGUAGGGGAGCGUUCUGUAAGCCUGUGAAGGUGUGCUGUGAGGCAUGCUGGAGGUAUCAGAAGUGCGAAUGCUGACAUAAGUAACGAUAAAGCGGGUGAAAAGCCCGCUCGCCGGAAGACCAAGGGUUCCUGUCCAACGUUAAUCGGGGCAGGGUGAGUCGACCCCUAAGGCGAGGCCGAAAGGCGUAGUCGAUGGGAAACAGGUUAAUAUUCCUGUACUUGGUGUUACUGCGAAGGGGGGACGGAGAAGGCUAUGUUGGCCGGGCGACGGUUGUCCCGGUUUAAGCGUGUAGGCUGGUUUUCCAGGCAAAUCCGGAAAAUCAAGGCUGAGGCGUGAUGACGAGGCACUACGGUGCUGAAGCAACAAAUGCCCUGCUUCCAGGAAAAGCCUCUAAGCAUCAGGUAACAUCAAAUCGUACCCCAAACCGACACAGGUGGUCAGGUAGAGAAUACCAAGGCGCUUGAGAGAACUCGGGUGAAGGAACUAGGCAAAAUGGUGCCGUAACUUCGGGAGAAGGCACGCUGAUAUGUAGGUGAAGUCCCUCGCGGAUGGAGCUGAAAUCAGUCGAAGAUACCAGCUGGCUGCAACUGUUUAUUAAAAACACAGCACUGUGCAAACACGAAAGUGGACGUAUACGGUGUGACGCCUGCCCGGUGCCGGAAGGUUAAUUGAUGGGGUUAGCCGCAAGGCGAAGCUCUUGAUCGAAGCCCCGGUAAACGGCGGCCGUAACUAUAACGGUCCUAAGGUAGCGAAAUUCCUUGUCGGGUAAGUUCCGACCUGCACGAAUGGCGUAAUGAUGGCCAGGCUGUCUCCACCCGAGACUCAGUGAAAUUGAACUCGCUGUGAAGAUGCAGUGUACCCGCGGCAAGACGGAAAGACCCCGUGAACCUUUACUAUAGCUUGACACUGAACAUUGAGCCUUGAUGUGUAGGAUAGGUGGGAGGCUUUGAAGUGUGGACGCCAGUCUGCAUGGAGCCGACCUUGAAAUACCACCCUUUAAUGUUUGAUGUUCUAACGUUGACCCGUAAUCCGGGUUGCGGACAGUGUCUGGUGGGUAGUUUGACUGGGGCGGUCUCCUCCUAAAGAGUAACGGAGGAGCACGAAGGUUGGCUAAUCCUGGUCGGACAUCAGGAGGUUAGUGCAAUGGCAUAAGCCAGCUUGACUGCGAGCGUGACGGCGCGAGCAGGUGCGAAAGCAGGUCAUAGUGAUCCGGUGGUUCUGAAUGGAAGGGCCAUCGCUCAACGGAUAAAAGGUACUCCGGGGAUAACAGGCUGAUACCGCCCAAGAGUUCAUAUCGACGGCGGUGUUUGGCACCUCGAUGUCGGCUCAUCACAUCCUGGGGCUGAAGUAGGUCCCAAGGGUAUGGCUGUUCGCCAUUUAAAGUGGUACGCGAGCUGGGUUUAGAACGUCGUGAGACAGUUCGGUCCCUAUCUGCCGUGGGCGCUGGAGAACUGAGGGGGGCUGCUCCUAGUACGAGAGGACCGGAGUGGACGCAUCACUGGUGUUCGGGUUGUCAUGCCAAUGGCACUGCCCGGUAGCUAAAUGCGGAAGAGAUAAGUGCUGAAAGCAUCUAAGCACGAAACUUGCCCCGAGAUGAGUUCUCCCUGACUCCUUGAGAGUCCUGAAGGAACGUUGAAGACGACGACGUUGAUAGGCCGGGUGUGUAAGCGCAGCGAUGCGUUGAGCUAACCGGUACUAAUGAACCGUGAGGCUUAACCUU